CGUAAUGGGAGGACCCAUUAGACAACCACUUACCUUUGUGACAUAUCCCAUUAGUGUUACUGUUUUUGGAGAACAAGGAGAGGAAGAUCUGAAAGCCAAAUAGAUAAUUGAUCAGUGCCUCGUUCAGAGGCAUGGCAUAUGGGAUGUCUAAUCAAUGAUAUCACGAAUUAACAUAAUCAACACAGAAUUGAUGCAAUUCUCAGUCUGUUUUCUGCUACUGCUGAGGAGCUGCGAGAAGCUUGCGCGGAGGAGGAACCGCCGCCUUGGGAAGCGGUCUUCCAGUGGAAGUAGUUCUGGCGCCAUGGUUGGCCAGAAGCAAAUGCUCGAUAAAGCAUGAAGACAUCGUGCCAACUCGGGCACUUGACAUAGGCAUCGCCUCUGCAGGCGCCUGCUACGAUCAACCUGGCGUACUCCUCCACAGCCCCACCGGCUGCAUUUGCCUAAUAAAAUCCCCCCACAAGCUACAAGUCAACCUAUAGAUGAAUAUGUUUGUCUAAGUAAUAGGAUUUAUUGCAUCUAUUUAGAGCAGAAACUUACUUCUCUU
This is a long non-coding RNA of Diospyros lotus (date-plum), 544 nucleotides long. RefSeq lists it as uncharacterized. The transcript is spliced from 3 exons. The record is from RefSeq and is a predicted model, not a curated record. NCBI's taxonomy places the organism in Eukaryota, Viridiplantae, Streptophyta, Magnoliopsida, Ericales, Ebenaceae.